AUGUUGACUUGGUGGUAAAUGAUCCACAUACGCGUAAUAUAUUCUGGUUAUGAAAAUCUUUAGUGAACCGGAUUAAACCCGGAAUUAAGUUGUGUGUUUAAAACGUUUAAUUAUCUAUAAAAUAGAAAAGGGACACCAAUACUCACCCAGCAAAGUGGUAGUGACUCAGCAUGAUGCUGGAGUCGCACCAGGGUUCGAGUAACGAAAUUGGUACCCCGAGUGAGAAGGAAAAAUUGUUUCCUCUCGACUUCCAUCGAGUGAUGAUGGUUGGCUUCCACUGAGUGUCAAUGGAAGAUGAAUGACAAAGGAGUUUAUUGUGACUCCGUCAUGACCAGACUGCAGUCUGGUGUCCGGGUCUUCCCUGAAGUGAAGAUUCGGGGUCGGGAAUGUUUAUCACAGAGAAUCAUGCCUCUGGUGAUAGCCGAAAUGAGGUAAUCCAAAUUACCUCUUUUUUUAUAAAAGACAGAGAAUCAACUUCUGUUACUACAAACGAGGAACAGAGCAUCACCUUAAUUAUCUGCAAAUUAAAAGACAUUGACUUGUUCUUUGAAUAGUGUGUUUGGCUGAUUCAUUCAAACUUCCCAUCAUACUACUACUAAACCGACUCUGACCAGUGCAAAAAAUACCAGCUUUCCACCAAAAUUCACUAUUUCGUUUCAUAUUAUUCUGAUUUCUGAAUAUAUGCAACUAUAAUAUAUUAUGAGGUUUUUUCAUUCAUUUAUCUUUAUGUAGAAUUAUCUUCUUCUUCUUUUUUUUGACUCUAUG
Molecule: long non-coding RNA, 765 nt
Organism: Arabidopsis thaliana (thale cress)
Lineage: Eukaryota; Viridiplantae; Streptophyta; Magnoliopsida; Brassicales; Brassicaceae
Product: other RNA
Exons: 1
Source: RefSeq